This is a long non-coding RNA of Erpetoichthys calabaricus (reedfish), 326 nucleotides long. RefSeq lists it as uncharacterized. Lineage: Eukaryota; Metazoa; Chordata; Cladistia; Polypteriformes; Polypteridae. The transcript has 2 exons. The record is from RefSeq and is a predicted model, not a curated record.
UUUUUCCUUCUUUUCUGCUUGUUUUAUUACAAAGUAUGAGUUAUUUUCAUUUUUAAUCCCAGAUUUUAAGGGCAACAAAGUAACAAGAGCAUUGAAAUAACAUGAGCAGGCACAAGAUGUGAAAAGCGUGGGAGGUACGGCUGACACUGAGAUCUGCUCAAGGUCCUUUAACGUUUGAGUCCUUCAGAGACUGAGCUGCAGCCCCUGCUUGCAAGCUACAUGCAGAUGGGUCACAGUAGCCAGGAGGUCCGGCGUUUCCGGGUGGUCCAGGAAUACCAGGCUGUCCAGCAACUCCCGGAGGACCUCUUUCUCCAUCACGUCCAUCC